Molecule: ribosomal RNA, 793 nt
Filed under: uncultured bacterium
Lineage: Bacteria
Description: bacterial SSU rRNA
Rfam family: Bacterial small subunit ribosomal RNA
Source: RNAcentral
AGAGUUUGAUCAUGGCUCAGAUUGAACGCUGGCGGAAUGCUUUACACAUGCAAGUCGAACGGCAGCACGGACUUCGGUCUGGUGGCGAGUGGCGAACGGGUGAGUAAUAUAUCGGAACGUAUCCAAUAAUGGGGGAUAACUAAUCGAAAGGUUGGCUAAUACCGCAUACGCCCUACGGGGGAAAGCUAGGGACCUUCGGGCCUGGCGUUAAUGGAGCGGCCGAUAUCUGAUUAGCUAGUUGGUGAGGUAAAGGCUCACCAAGGCGACGAUCAGUAGCUGGUCUGAGAGGACGACCAGCCACACUGGAACUGAGACACGGUCCAGACUCCUACGGGAGGCAGCAGUGGGGAAUUUUGGACAAUGGGGGAAACCCUGAUCCAGCAAUGCCGCGUGUGCGAAGAAGGCCUUCGGGUUGUAAAGCACUUUUGUCAGGGAAGAAAUCCUUUGGGCUAAUACCCUAGGGGGAUGACGGUACCUGAAGAAUAAGCACCGGCUAACUACGUGCCAGCAGCCGCGGUAAUACGUAGGGUGCAAGCGUUAAUCGGAAUUACUGGGCGUAAAGCGUGCGCAGGCGGUUGUGUAAGACAGGUGUGAAAUCCCCGGGCUUAACCUGGGAAUUGCAUUUGUGACUGCACGACUAGAGUGUGUCAGAGGGGGGUGGAAUUCCACGUGUAGCAGUGAAAUGCGUAGAUAUGUGGAGGAACACCAAUGGCGAAGGCAGCCCCCUGGGAUAACACUGACGCUCAUGCACGAAAGCGUGGGGAGCAAACAGGAUUAGAUACCCCGGUAGUCC